This 497-nucleotide ribosomal RNA is filed under the name uncultured bacterium. RNAcentral's name for it is "partial 16S ribosomal RNA". It matches the Rfam family "Bacterial small subunit ribosomal RNA", at positions 28 to 507 of the family's 1533-position model. The record is from RNAcentral.
GAUGAACGCUGGCGGCGUGCCUAAUACAUGCAAGUCGAGCGAACGGACGAGAAGCUUGCUUCUCUGAUGUUAGCGGCGGACGGGUGAGUAACACGUGGAUAACCUACCUAUAAGACUGGGAUAACUUCGGGAAACCGUAGCUAAUACCGGAUAAUAUUUUGAACCGCAUGGUUCUAAAGUGAAAGACGGUCUUGCUGUCACUUAUAGAUGGAUCCGCGCUGCAUUAGCUAGUUGGUAAGGUAACGGCUUACCAAGGCAACGAUGCAUAGCCGACCUGAGAGGGUGAUCGGCCACACUGGAACUGAGACACGGUCCAGACUCCUACGGGAGGCAGCAGUAGGGAAUCUUCCGCAAUGGGCGAAAGCCUGACGGAGCAACGCCGCGUGAGUGAUGAAGGUCUUCGGAUCGUAAAACUCUGUUAUUAGGGAAGAACAUAUGUGUAAGUAACUGUGCACAUCUUGACGGUACCUAAUCAGAAAGCCACGGCUAACUACGUG